CCUACGGGUGGCAGCAGUGGGGAAUAUUGGGCAAUGGGCGCAAGCCUGACCCAGCCACGCCGCGUGAAGGAAGAAGGCUUUCGGGUUGUAAACUUCUUUUCUGAGGGACGAAGAAAGUGACGGUACCUCAGGAAUAAGCCACGGCUAACUACGUGCCAGCAGCCGCGGUUAUAAGUAGGUGGCAAGCGUUAUCCGGAUUUAUUGGGUGUAAAGGGCGUGGAGGCGGGAAAGUAAGUCAGAUGUGAAAACUCAGGGCUCAACCCUUAGCCUGCAUUUGAAACUGUUUGUCUUGAGUACUGGGGAGGCAAUCGGAAUUCGGGGUGUAGCGGUGAAAUGCGUAGAUAUACGGAGGAACACCAGUGGCGAAGGCGGAUUGCUAGACAGUCACUGACGCUGAGGCGCGAAAGCGUGGGGAGCAAACAGGAUUAGAUACCCUUGUAGUC
RNAcentral lists this ribosomal RNA (443 nucleotides) under uncultured bacterium. RNAcentral describes it as "partial 16S ribosomal RNA". It matches the Rfam family "Bacterial small subunit ribosomal RNA", at positions 338 to 795 of the family's 1533-position model. The record is from RNAcentral.